This 270-nucleotide ribosomal RNA is filed under the name uncultured bacterium. RNAcentral describes it as "partial 16S ribosomal RNA". It matches the Rfam family "Bacterial small subunit ribosomal RNA", at positions 793 to 1055 of the family's 1533-position model. The record is from RNAcentral.
GUCCACGCCCUAAACGAUGCGUACUAGGUAUUGGCAGUAUCGACCCUGUCAGUGCCGUUUAAAAGCUAACGCGUUAAGUACGCCGCCUGGGGAGUACGGCCGCAAGGCUAAAACUCAAAGGAAUAGACGGGGACCCCGCACAAGCGGUGGAGCAUGUGGUUUAAUUCGACGAUAAGCGUGGAACCUUACCCAGGCUCAACUACUAGCUGCAUAAGUUCAGAAACGGACUUAGCCUUCGAGGGUGCUAGAUAGGUGCUGCAUGGCUGCCGU